This 468-nucleotide ribosomal RNA is filed under the name uncultured bacterium. Its description in RNAcentral is "partial 16S ribosomal RNA". It matches the Rfam family "Bacterial small subunit ribosomal RNA", at positions 28 to 507 of the family's 1533-position model. The record is from RNAcentral.
GACGAACGCUGGCGGCGUGCUUAACACAUGCAAGUCGAACGGAAAGGCCCUGCUUUUGUAGGGUGCUCGAGUGGCGAACGGGUGAGUAACCCGUGAGUAACCUGCCCUUGCCUUUGGGAUAACUUCAGGCAACUGGGGCUAAUACCGGAUAGGAGCUCCUGCUGCAUGGUGGGGGUUGGAAAGUUUCGGCGGUUGGGGAUGGACUCGCGGCUUAUCAGCUUGUUGGUGGGGUAGUGGCUUACCAAGGCUUUGACGGGUAGCCGGCCUGAGAGGGUGACCGGCCACAUUGGGACUGAGAUACGGCCCAGACUCCUACGGGAGGCAGCAGUGGGGAAUAUUGCACAAUGGGCGGAAGCCUGAUGCAGCAACGCCGCGUGCGGGAUGACGGCCUUCGGGUUGUAAACCGCUUUCGCCUGUGACGAAGCGUGAGUGACGGUAAUGGGUAAAGAAGCACCGGCUAACUACGUG